UAGGGAAUCUUCGGCAAUGGGGGGAACCCUGACCGAGCAACGCCGCGUGAGUGAAGAAGGUUUUCGGAUCGUGAAGCUCUGUUGUUAAGGAAGAACGAGUGUGAGAAUGGAAAGUUCAUGCUGUGACGGUACUUAACCAGAAAGGGACGGCUAACUACGUGCCAGCAGCCGCGGUAAUACGUAGGUCCCGAGCGUUGUCCGGAUUUAUUGGGCGUAAAGCGAGCGCAGGCGGUUAGAAAAGUCUGAAGUGAAAGGCAGUGGCUCAACCAUUGUAGGCUUUGGAAACUGUUUAACUUGAGUGCAGAAGGGGAGAGUGGAAUUCCAUGUGUAGCGGUGAAAUGCGUAGAUAUAUGGAGGAACACCGGUGGCGAAAGCGGCUCUCUGGUCUGUAACUGACGCUGAGGCUCGAAAGCGUGGGGAGCGAACAGG
Molecule: ribosomal RNA, 429 nt
Filed under: Bacteroidota bacterium
Lineage: Bacteria; Pseudomonadati; Bacteroidota
Description: Bacteroidetes bacterium partial 16S ribosomal RNA
Rfam family: Bacterial small subunit ribosomal RNA
Source: RNAcentral